GCUAACCGUAAAGUCCACAAGAACAGGAUAAUGGAUGGACUGAGGUCUCUUAAUUGUGGGUUUGUUAAUGUCGAUAAAAUCGAAAAAGUUGUGAAAAAUAUGGGUUGGAAACUCACCAAGGAAGAAAUUAAGGAUCUGAAGCAAAAUUUGCCUCCCGAUGUACAUGGAAGAAUUGCAUUGAAAAAAUUGUUGAAGGGAUUAAAUGCAUUUACAGGUGA
This is a long non-coding RNA of Phodopus roborovskii (desert hamster), 218 nucleotides long. RefSeq lists it as uncharacterized. The record is from RefSeq and is a predicted model, not a curated record. NCBI's taxonomy places the organism in Eukaryota, Metazoa, Chordata, Mammalia, Rodentia, Cricetidae. The transcript is spliced from 3 exons.